CCUACGGGUGGCAGCAGUGGGGAAUAUUGCACAAUGGGGGAAACCCUGAUGCAGCAACGCCGCGUGAGCGAUGAAGGCCUUCGGGUCGUAAAGCUCUGUCCUAAGGGAAGAAUACUGACGGUACCUUAGGAGGAAGCCCCGGCUAACUACGUGCCAGCAGCCGCGGUAAUACGUAGGGGGCUAGCGUUAUCCGGAAUCACUGGGCGUAAAGGGUGCGUAGGCGGCCAAUUAAGCCAGGGGUGAAAGGCUACGGCUAAACCGUAGUAAGCCCUUGGAACUGAAUGGCUUGAGUGCAGGAGAGGAGAGUGGAAUUCCCAGUGUAGCGGUGAAAUGCGUAGAUAUUGGGAGGAACACCAGUUGCGAAGGCGGCUCUCUGGACUGUAACUGACGCUGAGGCACGAAAGCGUGGGGAGCGAACAGGAUUAGAUACCCCAGUAGUC
This 440-nucleotide ribosomal RNA is filed under the name uncultured bacterium. Its description in RNAcentral is "bacterial SSU rRNA". It matches the Rfam family "Bacterial small subunit ribosomal RNA", at positions 338 to 795 of the family's 1533-position model. The record is from RNAcentral.